UGAAGCAGUGAUUGCAGUCGAUAGUAUAUAAGUCGUGCAGGAUGAUUACUAAGUACCUGAAACUCUGGUUCGC
Molecule: small nucleolar RNA, 73 nt
Organism: Octodon degus (degu)
Lineage: Eukaryota; Metazoa; Chordata; Mammalia; Rodentia; Octodontidae
Product: small nucleolar RNA SNORD113/SNORD114 family
Exons: 1
Source: RefSeq, a predicted model, not a curated record